UUCCAUUUUCCACUUACAGUCUUUGAAAAGCUGACAUUGUUGACGCUGUAUUUGACAGCAACAAUUCUUGGGAAAUUCAACAAUUCAGUUGUUUGUGACCGAAAGCAAACUCCGAUUUUAUAUACGGAAUGAAGGCUCCAAUUUUCCUUCUGUGUUUGCUGAUUGGAGUACAAAGCUCUUUAUUUAUCUCAUUGAGAACGCAGCCCCGACCAGGUGAAUCAUAGAAGCCGUUGCAGCUUCUAGGGACCAUGAUAGGUAAAGAACUGAAGAAAUUUUCCUAAAGUCCAGUCACGAGAAUCAUUCCAAUAGGUAAUUUUCCCAUAGGAGUCUACCUAAAAGCUUUGAGUCUUGGAACUGAGUUUGAAACAAGGCUUGAAAAUAUUAAACAAUUAUCAACUUUGGAAUACUUUAACUGUUUCUUCAAAGAUAUCAAGAAAUGCACUGGAAAAGAUGUGGAAGAAUACAUAGUAUCUCUGGAUGAAUUCGGUAAACUUCUUGCGCAGUCACUUUGGAAUUGCAGAAAUCUCGCUAUUGAAAUGUGUAAUGAGCUAUCAACUUUACGCAGAGAUUAUCUUGCCAAUGUGGAUUGCUACGUGGAUAUGAUUGAAGGAGCCUAUUCUGCUUGUAGAGAAAAGGCCGAUUCGGACACUGAGGCAUUUUUAAGAAAAUAUCAUAAUCUAACAGAAGACGAAGAUGUUAACUGGGGGGGAACAGGGCUGUUUAGGGGAAGUGUAUGAAUUGGCUUGCUUGGCCGAAAAAUUGGAAGACAGCUGCAGUGAAGCUGCGAGAAGAGCAUUCCUAAAUAUUCGUGAAAAAGUCAAUCCAUCUUUGCAUUCAGCAUGUGAUGUAGAAGACCCUAUGAGUUUUAGACGAUCAUUUUUUGAACAUUUGGGAUUGGUAGGCAAAAAAGCUGAGAUUUAUCGGUUUGUAUUUGAAAGAUUCUGUAGGAAAUAGGACAAGGACUCUUUUGAAUAUCCAACUAUGACAAUAGAUUUUUGACUUAUAAAAAUAUAAACUGUUUUCUGCUUUCUAGAAAUUUUUAAUAAAAGUUUAUUCUUAAAUAGGCAAAAUAGAAAACAUGGUUUCAAACUGCAUGUCACAAAUAAUUUGUGCUAUAAU
Molecule: long non-coding RNA, 1119 nt
Organism: Argiope bruennichi
Lineage: Eukaryota; Metazoa; Arthropoda; Arachnida; Araneae; Araneidae
Exons: 7
Source: RefSeq, a predicted model, not a curated record